RNAcentral lists this ribosomal RNA (1116 nucleotides) under uncultured Polynucleobacter sp. RNAcentral describes it as "bacterial SSU rRNA". It matches the Rfam family "Bacterial small subunit ribosomal RNA", at positions 383 to 1497 of the family's 1533-position model. Lineage: Bacteria; Pseudomonadati; Pseudomonadota; Betaproteobacteria; Burkholderiales; Burkholderiaceae. The record is from RNAcentral.
CUGAUCCAGCAAUGCCGCGUGAGUGAAGAAGGCCUUCGGGUUGUAAAGCUCUUUUGUCAGGGAAGAAACAGCAGCUCUAACACAGUCUGCGAAUGACGGUACCUGAAGAAUAAGCACCGGCUAACUACGUGCCAGCAGCCGCGGUAAUACGUAGGGUGCAAGCGUUAAUCGGAAUUACUGGGCGUAAAGCGUGCGCAGGCGGUUAUGUAAGACAGGCGUGAAAUCCCCGGGCUUAACCUGGGAAUUGCGCUUGUGACUGCAUAGCUAGAGUAUGUCAGAGGGGGGUAGAAUUCCACGUGUAGCAGUGAAAUGCGUAGAGAUGUGGAGGAAUACCAAUGGCGAAGGCAGCCCCCUGGGAUAAUACUGACGCGCAUGCACGAAAGCGUGGGGAGCAAACAGGAUUAGAUACCCUGGUAGUCCACGCCCUAAACGAUGCUGACUAGUUGUUCGGGAAUUUAUUCCUGAGUAACGUAGCUAACGCGUGAAGUCAGCCGCCUGGGGAGUACGGUCGCAAGAUUAAAACUCAAAGGAAUUGACGGGGACCCGCACAAGCGGUGGAUGAUGUGGAUUAAUUCGAUGCAACGCGAAAAACCUUACCUACCCUUGACAUGCCACUAACGAAGUAGAGAUACAUUAGGUGCCCGUAAGGGAAAGUGGACACAGGUGCUGCAUGGCUGUCGUCAGCUCGUGUCGUGAGAUGUUGGGUUAAGUCCCGCAACGAGCGCAACCCUUGUCUUUAGUUGCUACGCAAGAGCACUCUAAAGAGACUGCCGGUGACAAACCGGAGGAAGGUGGGGAUGACGUCAAGUCCUCAUGGCCCUUAUGGGUAGGGCUUCACACGUCAUACAAUGGUGCAUACAGAGGGUUGCCAACCCGCGAGGGGGAGCUAAUCUCAGAAAAUGCAUCGUAGUCCGGAUCGUAGUCUGCAACUCGACUACGUGAAGCUGGAAUCGCUAGUAAUCGCGGAUCAGAAUGUCGCGGUGAAUACGUUCCCGGGUCUUGUACACACCGCCCGUCACACCAUGGGAGUGGGUUUUGCCAGAAGCCGUUAGCCUAACCGCAAGGAGGGCGACGACCACGGCAGGGUUCAUGACUGGGGUGAAGUCGUAACAAGGU